CAGAAUCAGACCUUCGCGAAGAUUUCUGAGGAGGAAGGGAACACCUUAAGCUCUGCUGGCAUUGAUGCUCCAUCAGCCUCUACAACAACAGCUGAGCUUGUGUUCGAAUCUUCAUUUCAAAGUCAGAAGUCAACAGUCCAUGCACAAGAAACAGCCACAUUGCAGCAUGACACUAACAACGUAAGCUAUGGGGCCAGUAUUAAUUCCAGGGGCAUUUCCUUUGUGUAUGUAUCAGAUUAAUAAAAACUGAAAU
Long non-coding RNA from Coturnix japonica (Japanese quail), 253 nucleotides. RefSeq lists it as uncharacterized. The record is from RefSeq and is a predicted model, not a curated record. Lineage: Eukaryota; Metazoa; Chordata; Aves; Galliformes; Phasianidae.